UCUUUCUGUAGUAUUAACUGUUUGGUAUGUGUGCUUUCCAAGCACGAGGUCUGCGGAAUUGGCAGUGGAAUGAU
Molecule: transfer RNA, 74 nt
Filed under: Barbatia virescens
Lineage: Eukaryota; Metazoa; Mollusca; Bivalvia; Arcoida; Arcidae
Description: tRNA-Gly
Source: RNAcentral